RNAcentral lists this long non-coding RNA (371 nucleotides) under Cottoperca gobio. RNAcentral's name for it is "lncRNA (ENSCGOG00000004772.1)". The record is from RNAcentral. Lineage: Eukaryota; Metazoa; Chordata; Actinopteri; Perciformes; Bovichtidae.
UUUCCUUCAUGCUAAAAUCGGACAUAAUACGGUUUUCUGUGCGGUUAAUUGUACUAACUAAGAAGUCUGAGCUCUAGCUUUCCGUGAAAGUGACAUUCUAGUAGGCUAUUCUUUCAUUUAGGUGUUAGCACUAGCAGGAAUCGAUGUAUGUGCUCACCAUACCUAGCUUGUUAGCUUAGCUUUUGUACUAAAAAGCACUCUAAAGACUCUGCUCUUCUUUCCCCCGGUCCUGCUGCAGUCUCAGCUGAACACAGUGAAACACCCACAGGAUCCCCGCACCCUGCCUGCUGCUGUUACUACUGCACCGCUGAGAGCCGAGAGGCCAUGCAACAAGUGACGGCUUGGAAAGAGGCAGAAGAGAGAGAGAGAAU